CCCGUACCGGGUUGGUAAACUGCUUUUGUCAGGGGAAGUAAACCCCCAACUAUGUAUAUGGGGCUGAAUGUACUCUGAGAAUAAGGAUCGGCUAACUCCGUGC
RNAcentral lists this ribosomal RNA (103 nucleotides) under uncultured bacterium. Its description in RNAcentral is "partial 16S ribosomal RNA". The record is from RNAcentral.